Molecule: long non-coding RNA, 620 nt
Organism: Pieris rapae (cabbage white)
Lineage: Eukaryota; Metazoa; Arthropoda; Insecta; Lepidoptera; Pieridae
Exons: 2
Source: RefSeq, a predicted model, not a curated record
AAUGUACGUGCUGCUGCCAUACUCUUUAACUAGAAGAGAUGAGCGCCAAAUCCUUCGCGUGAUUCUGUGAGAUUACAUAUAAUAAUCACUAGACACAAAAAUAGAUAAAUAUAUUCGAGUGAUGAGAAGCCGCUCAUCCGGUAGCACUCUCGAUCUCCUCGCUUUUUGAGUUAUUUCCGAAAUCACUGCUAAGCGAUAGAUGCUAGGAUAGGUUAAUAGAAGUAAGUCAUUCUGGAACAUUGAUAUACAAAAACCCAAGAUGCACAUUCAACGUCCAAAAAAUGAGCGCAACAUUCUAAAUUGUGCGCUCAUUUCAAAUAGUCUCGCGUGACGCGUCGCUCGCGUCUGGGAGCAGACGUUAAAAAUGUCAAAGUGUUCUCUGAGAAAUUGUAAAAAUACUACGUCAAGAAGGCUAAAAAAGGAUGGGAUAUCGUAUUUUCGAUUGAAAUACCGGAUGAUGGCGGUGAUACUGAAGUGUGUCCUACGAGUUCAAUGUUUAAUUUAGAAAUUGAAAAGAAAUUCAAAUCUCCUACCACUUCUCCAAGCACGUCGUCAGUUUUGGAUACACCUCGAAAAGUUCGUAUAAAAAGCGAACUUCACAAAUGCCGCAAAAGGUUAAU